UUUCCUAUGACCGUACCUCUCAUCUUUCACCCGAUCAAAAUCCCAUCGAAGAAACCUAGGGCUUUUUCUCGUUUCCCACUUCCGCUGCCUCCUCUCCUCGACGGAGCAAAACCGCAGCCUCCUCUCCUCGGCUCCCCACUUCUGCCGCCUCUCCUUCUCGCCGACCUUUUCGCCGUCGUUUCCCUCCCCUCGUCGGUUCCUCACUUUCGCCGCCUCUCCUUCACUUUCCCUCGUCCGUCAGCCCUUUGUUCGUCGACUUCAAGGCCAUCCCUCUCUAGCAUCCAGUGAUUGGCUUCUUCAGUUGCAGAAACAGUUCAAAUUGAUUGGUGCGGGUGCUUCGGUUCUCAAUCUUGGAUGCGCUCCCGGUGCUUGGCUUCAGUGCAUGUUUAGGUGGCUUGUCAGAGUUUAGGGCCACCGAAGAAGGGUGGGGCUGUUAUCGGUGUUGAUAUAAAGAGCAGAAUGUUAAGGUUCCAUCCCAUCACUGUGACUCUAGAGUACGAACAGUUUGUGCUGAUGUUAUGGAGCUAAUGAAGAGCCAGGCUAGAAAACUGUCUCCUCAGGUGUGAUGGUUCAAUCCAAGCACCCAGCCAACCAGCAUGGUCAUUAACUUCUCUGAGUAGCCAACCUUUUUGCACAAUGUCAUCAAGUUGAAAACAAUACUCUCACUGAUGGUAGAAAAGAUGGGGGUGGGUGGGGAUCUCUUAUAGUUGUCAAUUUAUUUAUACAGAUAAUAUACUUUCCUCUUCAUUCAGUCUGUCAUGCAAUUUGUUCAUAUAACUUGGAACUGUUUUAUGGUAUGUGCUUAUAAUUCUUGUCCUUUUUAAUUGAUAUAAUCUAUUUUUGGGUAAUUUGAUAUUGUCUGCUUUUGUAGAUGAGAAUGGAAAUGAACACAUGGGGGUGGUUGCAUCAAUGUGGCCAAUAUAUGGUCUUUGCCAUUAAACAAGAGAAUUGAGGCUUGUGCCUAAAAGAUUGAGAGCAGAAGCUGUUGGAAUAGUUUGAGUAUCAAUCUAUAACUUUCUAUCUCAGAGCAAAUUUCUGCUUCCAAAUGGGAGGGAAAUUAAUGGACUAAUACUUUCAAUGAUCGGAAAAGCAUUGAAUAAUCAGCAAAGGAUUGGAAUCAUGAGAAGAAGCAUUAGAACUGAACCCUCUUGAUGUUGCUCGCAAAUAUUGGAUACAAUUUGUUGAACACUCAUUUUCUAAAGAAUUUUAAGGAAAACAUUUGGAGAUCCAUGCUUGUCGCUUUUUGGGGGAUUUAUUUGUUAUGAAGAUUAGAACUUAAUCGUCUCAAUAGAGACAUUUUGACCUUUUGAUUAAGUAGUAGCUCUUUGUUUUAAUCAUGGAGGAUUUGUGAUAUGUGCUUACUUUGGUUAGUUUGUGUGUAAAACUUGUAUAGAAUUAUCUCAAUCCUAUUGCUAUAAUAUUGUUCUUCGUUGUAAUAAAUUGUUCAUUAUAUUAAGGCUAAAGUUUGGUUA
Asparagus officinalis (garden asparagus) is the source of this 1472-nucleotide long non-coding RNA. RefSeq lists it as uncharacterized. Lineage: Eukaryota; Viridiplantae; Streptophyta; Magnoliopsida; Asparagales; Asparagaceae. The record is from RefSeq and is a predicted model, not a curated record. The transcript has 8 exons.